Molecule: long non-coding RNA, 226 nt
Organism: Nanorana parkeri
Lineage: Eukaryota; Metazoa; Chordata; Amphibia; Anura; Dicroglossidae
Exons: 3
Source: RefSeq, a predicted model, not a curated record
AUCAUUCUGCUGUGUGUCUCAGCAUGGCUGGCUGCAAACAGAAAUUCUGAAGAUCACCUGAGACGGGAGACCCAACAGAACCUGACCCGGAUGCUGGAAGACGCCAAUCAGAGGGUGCAAUGUCUGAGAACGGCCAUAUUAGUGGAAGAUCAGUUCGGUGAGUGUCCCCUGGGAUGGACGAUGAUGAAUCAGAAAUGUUAUUUCCUCUCCACUGAUAAUGGGACGA